UACAGGGGGGGCAAGCGUUGUUCGGAAUUACUGGGCGUAAAGGGCUCGUAGGCGGCCAACUAAGUCCGACGUGAAAUCCCAAAGCUUAACUUUGGAACUGCGUCGGAUACUGGAUGGCUUGAAUUCGGGAGAGGGAUGCAGAAUUCCAGGUGUAGCGGUGAAAUGCGUAGAUAUCUGGAGGAACACCAGCGGCGAAGGCGGCGCUCUGGGCCGGAACUGACGCUGAGGAGCGAAAGCGUGGGUAGCAAACAGG
Molecule: ribosomal RNA, 253 nt
Filed under: uncultured bacterium
Lineage: Bacteria
Description: partial 16S ribosomal RNA
Rfam family: Bacterial small subunit ribosomal RNA
Source: RNAcentral